GCAUAUCAAUAAGCGGAGGAAAAGAAACUAACAAGGAUUCCCCUAGUAGCGGCGAGCGAAGCGGGAAGAGCUCAAAUUUAUAAUCUGGCACCUUCGGUGUCCGAGUUGUAAUCUCUAGAAAUGUUUUCCGCGCUGGACCGCACACAAGUCUGUUGGAAUACAGCGGCAUAGUGGUGAGACCCCCGUAUAUGGUGCGGACGCCCAGCGCUUUGUGAUACAUUUUCGAAGAGUCGAGUUGUUUGGGAAUGCAGCUCAAAUUGGGUGGUAAAUUCCAUCUAAAGCUAAAUAUUGGCGAGAGACCGAUAGCGAACAAGUACCGUGAGGGAAAGAUGAAAAGCACUUUGGAAAGAGAGUUAACAGUACGUGAAAUUGUUGGAAGGGAAACGCUUGAAGUCAGACUUGCUUGCCGAGCAAUCGGUUUGCAGGCCAGCAUCAGUUUUCCGGGAUGGAUAAUGGUAGAGAGAAGGUAGCAGUUUCGGCUGUGUUAUAGCUCUCUGCUGGAUACAUCUUGGGGGACUGAGGAACGCAGUGUGCCUUUGGCGGGGGUUUCGACCUCUUCACACUUAGGAUGCUGGUGGAAUGGCUUUAAACGACCCGUCUUGAAACACGGACCAA
Molecule: ribosomal RNA, 615 nt
Filed under: Rhodotorula mucilaginosa
Lineage: Eukaryota; Fungi; Basidiomycota; Microbotryomycetes; Sporidiobolales; Sporidiobolaceae
Description: eukaryotic LSU rRNA
Rfam family: Eukaryotic large subunit ribosomal RNA
Source: RNAcentral